CAGCACGCCGCGGGAAUACAGAGGGUGCGAGCGUUAAUCGGAUUUACUGGGCGUAAAGCGUGCGUAGGCGGCUUCUUAAGUCGGAUGUGAAAUCCCUGAGCUUAACUUAGGAAUUGCAUUCGAUACUGGGAAGCUAGAGUAUGGGAGAGGAUGGUAGAAUUCCAGGUGUAGCGGUGAAAUGCGUAGAGAUCUGGAGGAAUACCGAUGGCGAAGGCAGCCAUCUGGCCUAAUACUGACGCUGAGGUACGAAAGCAUGGGGAGCAAACAGGAUUAGAUACCCCAGUAGUCCCUGUCUCUUAUACAC
This 304-nucleotide ribosomal RNA is filed under the name uncultured bacterium. Its description in RNAcentral is "partial 16S ribosomal RNA". It matches the Rfam family "Bacterial small subunit ribosomal RNA", at positions 509 to 809 of the family's 1533-position model. The record is from RNAcentral.